RNAcentral lists this ribosomal RNA (449 nucleotides) under uncultured bacterium. RNAcentral describes it as "partial 16S ribosomal RNA". It matches the Rfam family "Bacterial small subunit ribosomal RNA", at positions 29 to 523 of the family's 1533-position model. The record is from RNAcentral.
AACGAACGCUGGCGGCAUGCCUAACACAUGCAAGUCGAACGAGAUCUUCGGGUCUAGUGGCGCACGGGUGCGUAACGCGUGGGAAUCUGCCCUUUGGUUCGGAAUAACAGUUGGAAACGACUGCUAAUACCGGAUGACGACGAAAGUCCAAAGAUUUAUCGCCAGAGGAUGAGCCCGCGUAGGAUUAGCUAGUUGGUGUGGUAAAGGCGCACCAAGGCGACGAUCCUUAGCUGGUCUGAGAGGAUGAUCAGCCACACUGGGACUGAAACACGGCCCAGACUCCUACGGGAGGCAGCAGUGGGGAAUAUUGGACAAUGGGCGAAAGCCUGAUCCAGCAAUGCCGCGUGAGUGAUGAAGGCCUUAGGGUUGUAAAGCUCUUUUACCCGGGAUGAUAAUGACAGUACCGGGAGAAUAAGCUCCGGCUAACUCCGUGCCAGCCGCCGCGGUAA